RNAcentral lists this ribosomal RNA (301 nucleotides) under uncultured bacterium. Its description in RNAcentral is "partial 16S ribosomal RNA". It matches the Rfam family "Bacterial small subunit ribosomal RNA", at positions 509 to 809 of the family's 1533-position model. The record is from RNAcentral.
CAGCCGCCACGGGAAUACGUAGGGUGCGAGCGUUAAUCGGAAUUACUGGGCGUAAAGCGCGCGCAGGCGGUUCGUUAAGACAGAUGUGAAAUCCCCGGGCUUAACCUGGGAACUGCAUUUGUGACUGGCGAGCUAGAGUAUGGCAGAGGGGGGUAGAAUUCCACGUGUAGCAGUGAAAUGCGUAGAGAUGUGGAGGAAUACCGAUGGCGAAGUCAGCCCCCUGGGCCAAUACUGACGCUCAUGCACGAAAGCGUGGGGAGCAAACAGGAUUAGAUACCCGCGUAGUCCCUGUCUCUUAUAA